This 252-nucleotide ribosomal RNA is filed under the name uncultured bacterium. RNAcentral describes it as "partial 16S ribosomal RNA". It matches the Rfam family "Bacterial small subunit ribosomal RNA", at positions 524 to 776 of the family's 1533-position model. The record is from RNAcentral.
UACGGAGGGUGCGAGCGUUGUCCGGAAUCACUGGGCGUAAGGGCGCGUAGGUGGCGCGGGUAGUCAUCGGUGAAAGCUCAGGGCUCAACCCUGAGUCGGCCGGUGAUACUCCCGUGCCUGAGUGUGGUAGGGGAGACUGGAAUUCCUGGUGUAGCGGUGAAAUGCGCAGAUAUCAGGAGGAACACCGAUGGCGAAGGCAGGUCUCUGGGCCACUACUGACGCUGAGAAGCGAAAGCAUGGGGAGCGAACAGG